UCUUUUCUCAUUUUUUUUCCUCUCAUUCUCUCUCUGCAGAUCAAACAUUCCCUGAAUGGUGGUAGAAGCAGGAGGAAUGUCACUUGCUGAUUUGAAUUUCAGAAAACACCUAAACCACAUUCUGAUCUUCAGCUUGAUCUCUACCUGCAUUGCCCUGGUCACGAUGGUCUGCCACCCAGAUGAACUCCCAGCCACAAGGAAGGUGACAGUUCCAGCAUACAUGGUGAGUUUUGACAACAAUGGAAAACUAACGAAGGACUUCAGGAGUUGCCUGGCUGAGUGGGAAGUCUUCUUAUCAAGCUCAGAGUAAAACCCUGAAGGUUUAAGCUGAGAGAGAAGAACAGCCUAGGCAUGUAAGGAACUGACUUGAAGCAACUGAGUGAAGUUCUAGAAAGAAGUAAUUCUAUUAACUAGAGAUGAUCUCCUGGAAACAUGCGUUUGAUGAGGCUCAGGCAUGUAUGCAUUCAUCCUAGCAGGUGGAUCAAUCUCUGUCUCCCAGUUGCUUUUGUAUCUCUCUUCUAAAUUUCCAUGUGCCCACAUGUAUCUGUAUCUUUCUGGUGGCUUUUUCAAAUCCCUCCCCUAUUGUUUUCCUAAGUGGCCUUCCUCAGGUGAUAGCAGACUUGAAAAGGUAUAGGUAUACCCAGAUUAAGUGUACAAGAUGCAACUGUGCUGAAAGAUAUUAGUUUUUUCCUUAUAGUGUUGAAUCCUACUUCAGGACUGCAGGUUGAACUAGACUUUAUACUAGCUUGUUAGCUGUGUGAGAAGGAAGACCUUAAUCACCUAGAGGAUUUACAUGUGGUUAGUUGUAUGCUGAGAAUGGCUUCAAAAUUGCCAGUGACACCUAAACGAGGGGUCUUAGACGCCUAAUGAGGAGAUCCAGGCUACUUGAAAGGAUCUGGGCCUCAGUCCUAUGGUACCUUCAUUCCCCAGCUGAAAAGACGAUCAGUUUUGCUAUGUAGUAAGAAUCUCUUUCUGUAGUAAAGAUUCCAUUCUGAUUCUACUCAUUUUCUACUAGUCACCUAUCAAAUAAGAGCUUAAUAGAUUCUACUGACUGUGGAUAUAUAGGUAACAGUAACCUCAUAUAAGUAUGAAAAAAGCUGUGAACCUUCUGCUGCAUUCAUAUACAAUUUACCAUUGACCUUUUGUUCCUAGAAGAGGCGACAAUAGGGUUAUGACACCAACCUGAGAAAAAUACCUUAAAAAGAGUAAAUGAACUGUACUGUAUAACUGGGGGAGCUAUGCAAUGUUAUUAUGUUUGGUUUUUAUAUGUAAAAGAAAAAAAAGAUUGAGCCAUACAAGGGAAGAUGCACCUGUAAUACCAGUCUUUUCACUAUGUAUCACUAAUAUACCAAUACUUAUCACUUCAUUCCAUUUAAAAAUUCAUUGCAUUGCGCUUGAAAGUAAUGACGUUCAACCAGUGGAUUUAUAGAUGCCCAAAAUCAGGCAGUAAAGGAUUUUUAUCAGCUUACAGAAUCAUUUUUUAAUUCUCCAGAAUUUUGCAGAAGACUUCAAAGAUCUCAAGCAAACUGCUUGUUYGAAGGACUAAAUAUAAAAAAUAAAGGACAAUUGGAUACAUUUAAUCA
Molecule: long non-coding RNA, 1583 nt
Organism: Dromaius novaehollandiae (emu)
Lineage: Eukaryota; Metazoa; Chordata; Aves; Casuariiformes; Dromaiidae
Source: Ensembl